CCUACGGGAGGCAGCAGUGGGGAAUAUUGGGCAAUGGGCGCAAGCCUGACCCAGCAACGCCGCGUGAAGGAAGAAGGCUUUCGGGUUGUAAACUUCUUUUCUCAGGGACGAAGAAAGUGACGGUACCUGAGGAAUAAGCCACGGCUAACUACGUGCCAGCAGCCGCGGUAAUACGUAGGUGGCAAGCGUUAUCCGGAUUUAUUGGGUGUAAAGGGCGUGUAGGCGGGAGCGCAAGUCAGAUGUGAAAACUCAGGGCUCAACCCUGAGCCUGCAUUUGAAACUGUGUUUCUUGAGUGCUGGGGAGGCAAUCGGAAUUCCGUGUGUAGCGGUGAAAUGCGUAGAUAUACGGAGGAACACCAGUGGCGAAGGCGGAUUGCUGGACAGUAACUGACGCUGAGGCGCGAAAGCGAGGGGAGCAAACAGGAUUAGAUACCCGAGUAGUC
RNAcentral lists this ribosomal RNA (443 nucleotides) under uncultured bacterium. RNAcentral describes it as "partial 16S ribosomal RNA". It matches the Rfam family "Bacterial small subunit ribosomal RNA", at positions 338 to 795 of the family's 1533-position model. The record is from RNAcentral.